AGAACGAACGCUGGCGGCAGGCUUAACACAUGCAAGUCGAGCGCGGACUUCGGUCCGAGCGGCGGACGGGUGAGUAACGCGUGGGAACGUGCCCUUUUCUUCGGAAUAGCCCAGGGAAACUUGGAUUAAUGCCGGAUACGCCCCUUGGGUAACCUUGGGGGAAAGAUUUAUCGGGGAAGGAUCGGCCCGCGUCGGAUUAGGUAGUUGGUGGGGUAACGGCCUACCAAGCCGACGAUCCGUAGCUGGUUUGAGAGGAUGAUCAGCCACACUGGGACUGAGACACGGCCCAGACUCCUACGGGAGGCAGCAGUGGGGAAUCUUGGACAAUGGGGGCAACCCUGAUCCAGCCAUGCCGCGUGAACGAUGAAGGCCUUAGGGUUGUAAAGUUCUUUCAGCGGGGAAGAUAAUGACGUACCCGCAGAAGAAGCCCCGGCUAACUCCGUGCCAGCAGCCGC
Molecule: ribosomal RNA, 455 nt
Filed under: uncultured bacterium
Lineage: Bacteria
Description: SSU rRNA
Rfam family: Bacterial small subunit ribosomal RNA
Source: RNAcentral